GGAAACUGUUCCAUUUCUGCAAUUCUCCACCCACCUUCUCUGCCAGAAAAUUAGCUUUAUUGCUCCCUCCUGCAAUUCCUCGAGACCGUGGGUCUUUCUGGUUGUUGGGUUUGUUUGUUUGUUGGAAUUACACUGAAAUCUAUUUGAACAAAAGCAUGUGUUUCUAUGUCUCCCCUCAGCUACUUGCUUCUUUUCUCUCCAAUGGCCUUGCUGUCCUGCCCACCCAUCAAGCCUGUUUUGGUCUGAUAUUUUCCCUGCUACCAGCCUGCUUCAACCUGAUGUCCCCAGACAAGAGGCCUCUGUCUAUAGCAAGAUACUGUGGUUUAUGGAUACUAUUGUUCCUUCUCUUCCAAAACAAAGGCCGACAUGCUGACUUUGAUUUUGCUCUCUCUGAUCUGCAUCCAGCAGUCCAUUCAAGCAGUGAACACAGUUCCAGGUUCAGCUGCCUCCAGCUCUUCUCCCCGACUUGCUUUCCCGUGCUGUGGAGGAAGGGCACGUCUCCGCAGCUGACAUCUCCCUUGGGCCUGCGCUUGCACCGAGCCGCUGCCAGAACGGGAACUGCAGGCGUCUGUUG
RNAcentral lists this long non-coding RNA (574 nucleotides) under Gallus gallus (chicken). RNAcentral's name for it is "lncRNA (ENSGALG00010025955.1)". The record is from RNAcentral. Lineage: Eukaryota; Metazoa; Chordata; Aves; Galliformes; Phasianidae.